Molecule: long non-coding RNA, 1120 nt
Filed under: Chrysolophus pictus (golden pheasant)
Lineage: Eukaryota; Metazoa; Chordata; Aves; Galliformes; Phasianidae
Description: lncRNA (ENSCPIG00010009630.1)
Source: RNAcentral
ACCCCCAUGCACGGCCUCCCAGCCCACUGUGAGUGCACAACAGCCCAGUGCAAGGCCCUCCCAGCCCCUUGUGAGUGUGCACAAGCCCUGUGCAAGACCCAACCCCACAGCCCCCACAAGCACCCUGUGAGUGCACACGACCCCCAUGCACGGCCUCCCAGCCCACUGUGAGUGCACAACAGCCCAGCCCCAGGGCACCCCCCCCCCAGCCCCUUGUGAGUGCACACGAGCCCCGUGCAAGCCCCCCCCCCCGACCCCACCUGCUGGCAGAACUCCUUGAUGCUGCGCCCUCCCUCCAGGAACUGCUCGAAGAAGCGGCGGUGGCGUUGGAGGCAGCCUGAGGUGAGCAGGCGGAGGUAAACCACCAGGUAGUCUGAGGUGCUGGGCUCGUUGAAGGCUGCCAGCAGCUCCGGCAGCGGCACGCCGCGCUCCACACGUUCAAUCAGCUCCAUGAACUGCAGGGGGGGGCCGCAAGGAGGGGUGUCAUGGGGUUAUGUAUGGGCUCAGGUAUAUGGCAGGGGGGUCCUGCAUGGGUUACGCACGCUGUCAUGGGGUCACACACAUCGUUAUGGGGUCAUAUGUAUCACUGUGGUGUCACACGUGUUACCGUGGGGUCAUAUAUGGGGUCACAUGUGUCACCAUGGGGUCACACGUGUCACCAUGGGGUCGUAUAUGGGGUUACAUAUGUCACUAUGGGGUCACAUGUGUCACCAUGGGGUCGUAUAUGGGGUUACACGUGUCACCAUGUGGCCACACGUGUCACCACAGGGUCAUAUAUGGGGUUACUUGGCUUGUUAUGGGGUCAUACGGGGCUUACACAUGUCGUUGUGGGGUCACAAGGGGGGGUCAUGGGGUUUUCUGGGUCUGCACGGGUUGACAUACGUGGCUGUGGGGUCCUGCAGGGAGCUAUGCGUGUGUUCAUGGGAUCCUGCAUGGGUUACACACCCACCGUUGUGGGGUCACACGCACGGUUAUGGGGUCAUACGUGGGAUCACGUGUGUUACACAGGCACAAACCACAGCGACACGAGGACACGCAGACGCUACGGGGACACGUAGGACACCCCCCGAGUGAGGCCACCCACCCCACAACCCCAGCGACCCCCUCCCCCGACGCCCCC